This is a non-coding RNA of Bos taurus (domestic cattle), 71 nucleotides long. The record is from Rfam. NCBI's taxonomy places the organism in Eukaryota, Metazoa, Chordata, Mammalia, Artiodactyla, Bovidae.
GCACUGGUGGUUUAAUGGUAGAAUUCUCACCUCCCAUGUGGGAGACCUGGGUUUGAUUCCUGGCCAGUGUA